RNAcentral lists this transfer RNA (78 nucleotides) under Candidatus Uhrbacteria bacterium. RNAcentral describes it as "tRNA-Thr". It matches the Rfam family "tRNA". Rfam says of the family: Transfer RNA (tRNA) molecules are approximately 80 nucleotides in length. Their secondary structure includes four short double-helical elements and three loops (D, anti-codon, and T loops). Lineage: Bacteria; Candidatus Uhriibacteriota. The record is from RNAcentral.
GGACCCGUGGAGGUAACUGGCCAACCUCAUCAGGGUUGUCACCAGAAGAUACGGGUUCAAAUCCCGUCGGGUCCACCA